GAUGAACGCUGGCGGCGUGCCUAAUACAUGCAAGUCGAGCGAACAGACGAGGAGCUUGCUCCUCUGACGUUAGCGGCGGACGGGUGAGUAACACGUGGAUAACCUACCUAUAAGACUGGGAUAACUUCGGGAAACCGGAGCUAAUACCGGAUAAUAUAUUGAACCGCAUGGUUCAAUAGUGAAAGACGGUUUUGCCGUCACUUAUAGAUGGAUCCGCGCCGCAUUAGCUAGUUGGUAAGGUAACGGCUUACCAAGGCAACGAUGCGUAGCCGACCUGAGAGGGUGAUCGGCCACACUGGAAUUGAGACACGGUCCAGACUCCUACGGGAGGCAGCAGUAGGGAAUCUUCCGCAAUGGGCGAAAGCCUGACGGAGCAACGCCGCGUGAGUGAUGAAGGUCUUCGGAUCGUAAAACUCUGUUAUUAGGGAAGAACAAAUGUGUAAGUAACUAUGCACGUCUUGACGGUACCUAAUCAGAAAGCCACGGCUAACUACGUG
RNAcentral lists this ribosomal RNA (497 nucleotides) under uncultured bacterium. RNAcentral's name for it is "partial 16S ribosomal RNA". It matches the Rfam family "Bacterial small subunit ribosomal RNA", at positions 28 to 507 of the family's 1533-position model. The record is from RNAcentral.